GAUACCCUGGUAGUCCACGCCGUAAACGAUGAGUGCUAAGUGUUAGAGGGUUUCCGCCCUUUAGUGCUGAAGUUAACGCAUUAAGCACUCCGCCUGGGGAGUACGGCCGCAAGGCUGAAACUCAAAGGAAUUGACGGGGGCCCGCACAAGCGGUGGAGCAUGUGGUUUAAUUCGAAGCAACGCGAAGAACCUUACCAGGUCUUGACAUCCUCUGAAAACCCUAGAGAUAGGGCUUCUCCUUCGGGAGCAGAGUGACAGGUGGUGCAUGGUUGUCGUCAGCUCGUGUCGUGAGAUGUUGGGUUAAGUCCCGCAACGAGCGCAACCCUUGAUCUUAGUUGCCAUCAUUAAGUUGGGCACUCUAAGGUGACUGCCGGUGACAAACCGGAGGAAGGUGGGGAUGACGUCAAAUCAUCAUGCCCCUUAUGACCUGGGCUACACACGUGCUACAAUGGACGGUACAAAGAGCUGCAAGACCGCGAGGUGGAGCUAAUCUCAUAAAACCGUUCUCAGUUCGGAUUGUAGGCUGCAACUCGCCUACAUGAAGCUGGAAUCGUUAG
RNAcentral lists this ribosomal RNA (557 nucleotides) under Bacillus sp. CH59. Its description in RNAcentral is "bacterial SSU rRNA". It matches the Rfam family "Bacterial small subunit ribosomal RNA", at positions 781 to 1338 of the family's 1533-position model. The record is from RNAcentral. Lineage: Bacteria; Bacillati; Bacillota; Bacilli; Caryophanales; Bacillaceae.